Molecule: ribosomal RNA, 483 nt
Filed under: uncultured bacterium
Lineage: Bacteria
Description: partial 16S ribosomal RNA
Rfam family: Bacterial small subunit ribosomal RNA
Source: RNAcentral
AUUGAACGCUGGCGGCAGGCCUAACACAUGCAAGUCGAGCGGAUGAAGGGAGCUUGCUCCUGGAUUCAGCGGCGGACGGGUGAGUAAUGCCUAGGAAUCUGCCUGGUAGUGGGGGAUAACGUCCGGAAACGGGCGCUAAUACCGCAUACGUCCUGAGGGAGAAAGUGGGGGAUCUUCGGACCUCACGCUAUCAGAUGAGCCUAGGUCGGAUUAGCUAGUUGGUGGGGUAAAGGCCUACCAAGGCGACGAUCCGUAACUGAUCUGAGAGGAUGAUCAGUCACACUGGAACUGAGACACGGUCCAGACUCCUACGGGAGGCAGCAGUGGGGAAUAUUGGACAAUGGGCGAAAGCCUGAUCCAGCCAUGCCGCGUGUGUGAAGAAGGUCUUCGGAUUGUAAAGCACUUUAGUUGGGAGGAAGGGCAGUAAGUUAAUACCUUGCUGUUUUGACGUUACCAACAGAAUAAGCACCGGCUAACUUCGUG